UAACGGGAAGACCCUUCCCUGGUCUUGACAUCCACAGAACUUGCCAGAGAUGCCUUGGUGCCUUCGGGAACUGUGAGACAGGUGCUGCAUGGCUGUCGUCAGCUCGUGUUGUGAAAUGUUGGGUUAAGUCCCGCAACGAGCGCAACCCUUAUCCUUUGUUGCCAGCGGUCCGGCCGGGAACUCAAAGGAGACUGCCAGUGAUAAACUGGAGGAAGGUGGGGAUGACGUCAAGUCAUCAUGGCCCUUACGACCAGGGCUACACACGUGCUACAAUGGCGCAUACAAAGAGAAGCGACCUCGCGAGAGCAAGCGGACCUCAUAAAGCGUUUCUAGUCCGGAUUGGAGUCUGCAACUCGACUCCAUGAAGUCGGAAUCGCUAGUAAUCGGAAUCAGAA
This 395-nucleotide ribosomal RNA is filed under the name Enterobacter sp. CAR13. RNAcentral describes it as "bacterial SSU rRNA". It matches the Rfam family "Bacterial small subunit ribosomal RNA", at positions 957 to 1354 of the family's 1533-position model. Lineage: Bacteria; Pseudomonadati; Pseudomonadota; Gammaproteobacteria; Enterobacterales; Enterobacteriaceae. The record is from RNAcentral.